RNAcentral lists this ribosomal RNA (404 nucleotides) under Bacillota bacterium. RNAcentral describes it as "Firmicutes bacterium partial 16S ribosomal RNA". It matches the Rfam family "Bacterial small subunit ribosomal RNA", at positions 355 to 776 of the family's 1533-position model. The record is from RNAcentral. Lineage: Bacteria; Bacillati; Bacillota.
UGGGGAAUAUUGGACAAUGGGGGCAACCCUGAUCCAGCCAUGCCGCGUGAGUGAUGAAGGCCUUCGGGUUGUAAAGCUCUUUUGGCGGGGACGAUGAUGACGGUACCCGCAGAAUAAGCCCCGGCUAACUUCGUGCCAGCAGCCGCGGUAAGACGAAGGGGGCUAGCGUUGUUCGGAAUUACUGGGCGUAAAGCGAGUGUAGGCGGUUGCCCAAGUCAGGUGUGAAAGCCUUGAGCUCAACUCAAGAAAUGCACUUGGUACUGGGUGGCUAGAGGACCGGAGAGGAUAGUGGAAUUCCCAGUGUAGUGGUGAAAUACGUAGAGAUUGGGAAGAACGCCAGUGGCGAAGGCGGCUAUCUGGACGGUUACUGACGCUAAGACUCGAAAGCGUGGGGAGCAAACAGG